AACGAACGCUGGCGGCAGGCUUAACACAUGCAAGUCGAGCGCCUCGCAAGGGGAGCGGCAGACGGGUGAGUAACGCGUGGGAAUCUACCCUUUCCUACGGAAUAACACAGAGAAAUUUGUGCUAAUACCGUAUACGCCCUACGGGGGAAAGAUUCAUCGGGAAGGAUGAGCCCGCGUCGGAUUAGCUGGUUGGUGGGGUAAUGGCCCACCAAGGCGACGAUCCGUAGCUGGUCUGAGAGGAUGACCAGCCACAUUGGGACUGAGACACGGCCCAAACUCCUACGGGAGGCAGCAGUGGGGAAUAUUGGACAAUGGGCGCAAGCCUGAUCCAGCCAUGCCGCGUGAGUGAUGAAGGCCUUAGGGUUGUAAAGCUCUUUCACCCACGAUGAUAAUGACGGUAGUGGGAGAAGAAGCCCCGGCUAACUUCGUG
This 430-nucleotide ribosomal RNA is filed under the name uncultured bacterium. RNAcentral describes it as "bacterial SSU rRNA". It matches the Rfam family "Bacterial small subunit ribosomal RNA", at positions 29 to 507 of the family's 1533-position model. The record is from RNAcentral.